Molecule: long non-coding RNA, 1795 nt
Organism: Triticum urartu
Lineage: Eukaryota; Viridiplantae; Streptophyta; Magnoliopsida; Poales; Poaceae
Source: RefSeq, a predicted model, not a curated record
UGCACCCCCACCCGAAACACAGAGAAAGCCCACCCACUCCCCAGCAUCUUGUCGAACCACCCCUCCCUGACGGCUCCGCCCCCUGCUCCCACGCACCGGCGCCGCCACCCCCUGCUCCCACGCGCCAUCGGCCGCCGCCCCCCUGCUCCCACGCGCCGCCGCCCCCUGCUCCCACGCGCCGCCUCCCUCUCCCCGACGGCCGGCCGCGUCCCUUACCCAGCAUCGGCCUCCUCCUUCCCCCACGUCAAUGAUGGUCGCCUAGUGGAUGCAGACCGUCUUCUUCCCCGCCGCCGGCCACCUCUUCCCCUUGCUCUGGACGCCUCCGUCCCUCCCUCCACUGUGCGCCUCCUGCUGGAUCCCGCCUUCGAGCGCGUUGGCCGCCCUGGCCACAACCGUGCCUCGUCCUCCCCCGCGUCUACCCCCGCCAGGGGCUUCCCAGCUCGCCGGAUCCGCUGGGUGCACGCGUUCCUCGCCGCCGUGAGUCACAAGGGAGGUUGAACGGGCUGCAGAAUGCGGGUUCGGUUGCCAUUGCGUCCAACAGUCCAACCCCAUCGCCCCAGGCCAUCCAGCGACCUGUCGGGCUAUAGUAUUCCGUUGCAAGUCGGCGAGCAACAUUAGCGACCGUACUCUCCAACUGCCCCAUGGAUAUUAUAUGAACAUUAGCAAUGCUAGUGAAGAUGGUGGGUGUGAUUCUACUUGGACUGGCGUCAACCCUCGACUUGGACGGCUGCGAGCACCCGUGGUGGACGAGCUCUUGCUCAAGGGCUGAAACUUAUUCUAAAAUCACAAAACUGACGAGAGGAUAAUGUACGCAAAUAGAGUAGUAAGUUCAGAAAAAAAAAGGUUCAGAACUAAAGAUAAAAAAAGGAAAUUUUUAGUCCAACGUACAACUUUGGAUAAUGACAACGAAAUCAUUCUUUUUUAGUCAAGCACAUACAAGUUUGAUAUUACUAAUGAAAGUUCUAUUUUUUCUAUUUUUUUGGCUGUGUAUACAUCCAAAAUGUAAGGUUUCAUAUAGCUCAGCGAAAUGGUUGUUGAACUGAAGAACAAACCAGGGGAAGGUGGAGAGAACAGGGUACCCCGUCUUGGUCAACAGAGCAAAAGAAUGGUGCAAAGUGUGAACAUGAUCUACUGCCAAGAAAAAAGCAAACAAGAGAAGCACAAACACACUGUAGCACAAUUUAUGUGUUUGCUGCUACUUUUUCCCAUUUGACAGAGGAAGAUGGAGAUGGGGCUAUAAGAUGUUGACUGCCAUUGCCCUUCCAAACAUGUCGUUGGUGUCGAACCAUUCACAGUGAGGUUCAGUCCAUAGGCUGCUCGUGAUCCUUGCUCCUUCAGCUCCACUUCGUCGAUGCCAUCAGUCCGUAGGAGUAGGGGCGGCGUGCCCGUCAACAAACAAGAACAGAAAGGGAGCAAUUGGUGCCGAAUUAUGAUGCAGAGGCUGGGGGCACGCCUCCAUUUCCAAAAAAACUGGUGCCGAAUGGGCCCCUGGGAGCUAGUCCAACCCGCUCGCAGACUGGAGGGUAUGCCGGUUUAUUUCCAACAAAACCAUAUGUACAAUUAGUGUGCUCGUUUGAUAAGAAGGAGACAACAUAGAAGUUAUGGUUGAAGCAAGUCCCUCCGUCCAGUUAUGUCCGAUUUUUGUGAUAGUAGUUCAAAAUGAGGGAUAUAUUGUAUAACUUUUCUGCACUUGUGCCCAGGUUGCUCCAAUGCUUUAUUGGCCUCAGUACUACUGUUUGGAGGAUACAAGAUUUUUUGUGAAAUCAAAUGGGAACCUCUCUCUUGUUGGCAGUAA